AUUGAACGCUGGCGGCAGGCCUAACACAUGCAAGUCGAACGAGUGGUGGACGGGUGAGUAAUGUCUGGGAAACUGCCUGACGGAGGGGGAUAACUACUGGAAACGGUAGCUACUACCGCAUACCAUCGGAUGUGCCCAGAUGGGUUUAGCUAGUAGGUGGGGUAACGGCUCACCUGGGCGAAGAUCCCUAGCUGGUCUGAGAGGAUGACCAGCAACACUGGAACUGAGACACUGUCCAGACCCCUACGGGAGGCAGAAGUGGGGAAUAUUGGAGAAUGGGCGCAAGCCUGAGGCAGCCAUGCCGCGUGUAUGAAGAAGGCUUUCGGGUUGUAAAGUACUUUCAGCGGGGAGGCGUUACCCGCAGAAGAAGCACCGGCUAACUCCGUGCCAGCAGCCGCGGUAAUUG
Molecule: ribosomal RNA, 406 nt
Filed under: uncultured bacterium
Lineage: Bacteria
Description: partial 16S ribosomal RNA
Rfam family: Bacterial small subunit ribosomal RNA
Source: RNAcentral